AUGGCACAUAAUAGAGCCCCUGGCCCAGAUAACAUACCUGUUGACUUCUAUCAGGUGUGCUGGGAUAUUGUUAAAUAUGAUAUUAUGAGGCUGUUUGUGAGUUUUCAUAAUGGGACUUUGGAUGUGCAACGUCUUAACUAUUGGGUGAUUACUCUUUUACCAAAAACUACGGGCGUGGAUAAAAUCCAGCAAUUUAGACCUAUAUGUCUCCUGAGAUGUCCAUACAAGCUUAUUACUAAAGUUUUGGAUCGGCGAGUGGAGAGAUACGCUGAUAAGCUCAUUAGCUAG
Molecule: ribosomal RNA, 288 nt
Filed under: Triticum aestivum (bread wheat)
Lineage: Eukaryota; Viridiplantae; Streptophyta; Magnoliopsida; Poales; Poaceae
Description: partial small subunit ribosomal RNA
Source: RNAcentral